This 70-nucleotide transfer RNA is filed under the name Rhodospirillales bacterium. RNAcentral's name for it is "tRNA-Lys". It matches the Rfam family "tRNA". Rfam says of the family: Transfer RNA (tRNA) molecules are approximately 80 nucleotides in length. Their secondary structure includes four short double-helical elements and three loops (D, anti-codon, and T loops). Lineage: Bacteria; Pseudomonadati; Pseudomonadota; Alphaproteobacteria; Rhodospirillales. The record is from RNAcentral.
GAGCAUUUAAACUAAUUCUUUCCGCCUUUUAAGCGGACGGUCAUAGGUUCGAAUCCUGUAGUGUCUACCA